UAAUACAUGCAAGUCGAACGCGCAGCGAAAGGUGCUUGCACCUUUCAAGCGAGUGGCGAACGGGUGAGUAACACGUGGAUAACCUGCCUCAAGGCUGGGGAUAACAUUUGGAAACAGAUGCUAAUACCGAAUAAAACUUAGUAUCGCAUGAUACAAAGUUGAAAGGCGCUACGGCGUCACCUAGAGAUGGGUCCGCGGUGCAUUAGUUAGUUGGUGGGGUAAAGGCCUACCAAGACAAUGAUGCAUAGCCGAGUUGAGAGACUGAUCGGCCACAUUGGGACUGAGACACGGCCCAAACUCCUACGGGAGGCUGCAGUAGGGAAUCUUCCACAAUGGGCGAAAGCCUGAUGGAGCAACGCCGCGUGUGUGAUGAAGGCUUUAGGGUCGUAAAGCACUGUUGUAUGGGAAGAAAUGCUAGAAUAGGGAAUGAUUCUAGUUCGACGGUACCAUACCAGAAAGGGACGGCUAAAUACGUGCCAGCAGCCGCGGUAAUACGUAUGUCCCGAGCGUUAUCCGGAUUUAUUGGGCGUAAAGCGAGCGCAGACGGUUGAUUAAGUCUGAUGUGAAAGCCCGGAGCUCAACUCCGGAAUGGCAUUGGAAACUGGUUAACUUGAGUGUUGUAGAGGUAAGUGGAACUCCAUGUGUAGCGGUGGAAUGCGUAGAUAUAUGGAAGAACACCAGUGGCGAAGGCGGCUUACUGGACAACAACUGACGUUGAG
This 719-nucleotide ribosomal RNA is filed under the name Leuconostoc lactis. RNAcentral describes it as "bacterial SSU rRNA". It matches the Rfam family "Bacterial small subunit ribosomal RNA", at positions 49 to 750 of the family's 1533-position model. The record is from RNAcentral. Lineage: Bacteria; Bacillati; Bacillota; Bacilli; Lactobacillales; Lactobacillaceae.